UUUUCCUCCCGCGCGGGCCACGUGAGGAGAGUCUGGAGCCUUCAGGUUGUCCCCGGUGCGCAAGCAGCAGGACGAGGCCCAGGACUUUUCGGGUCUGUACGUUUGCUGAGAGUGGUGUUCUUGUGGCGGGGGCGGAAGGUGGACGUCUUAGGAAGCCUUGCGACCCAGUCGGGACCCCCACAGGGACUCCGCAGUGCCUGGGGAUUGCCUGGACCUCGCCCGGGAAAGGAUGCAGUUUUACAAAACCAGAGGUAGCCGUCAAGUUGGAGCAAUGAAAAGGUCCAUUGUUGUUAGAGGAAGAAUUUCCAAGCAGGAGACAUGCAGGGUGAUAGUCCAGGUUGCUGAUGCCACCACCAUAAUUCAUCACCAGAGAUGGAGAAACUCUGUACCAUGAUGCCAGCUGGGCAAGGAAGAUCACUUUGCUGAGUGCUGGCAGGACUGAUUCAAUAGUUAUGCGGGCUCUGGGCUCCCGUGGCUGCCUUUAGCAUCUGGAUGCUGUAACUUGGAAGUUUGGUGUGGAGCGGUGUGAAACCUCAGAGGAUACAUGAAUAGGUCCAUAAACCUUCUCACACUGUCACCCUGGAAAUGGAACUCCAUAUGGCUGUCGGGGAGCUGCCCAAAGGCCACCUACAAGGGAUCCUAGGAAGGCUGGCCGUGUACGUCCUGGGGCCACAUUCGCAGCGUAUGGAAAUUCUUAGACUAAAGGUCAAAUUGGAGCUGCAGCUGCGGACCUACACCACAGCCAUAGAAAUGUAAGAUCUGAGCCCUGUCUGUGACCUACCUUAUAGUUCAGGGCAGUGCCGGAUCCCCAACCCACUGAGUGAGGCCGGGGAUUGAACCCGUAUCGUCAUGGACACUAGUUGGAUUGUUGUCACAACAGGAACUCCUCAGAUAAAUUUCUUAACUCUUUCCACACCAGUUCUGUUUCAGUUAUUUUUAUUUUCUUCUUUGAAUGUCUGUUGAGUUUUUCAUUUUAUUGACUAUAAAUUUUAUUUUCUAUUUGUCUCUUUUUUCUUUUUUUGGCUUUUUAGGGCCACCUCUGUGGCAUGUGGAAGUUCCCAGGCUAGGGGUGGAAUCAGAGCUACAGCUGCCGGACUACACCACAGCCAUAGCUCAGUGGGUUAAGGAUCCGGCAUUGCUGUAAGCUGUGGUGUAGGUCAUAGAUGUGGCUCAGAUCUGGCAUUACUGUGGCUGUGGUGCAGGUCGGUGGCUCCAGCUCCCAUUCGACCCUAGCCUGGGAACCUCCAUAUGCUGUGGGUAUAGCCCAAAAAAGAGAAAGAAAAAAGAAAAAGUUUCCUUUGAUGGUCAUCUGUCUGAGACCAGGUGGCAAGAUUUUCACACUUUGUCAUUGAAUCUUUCCCUGCCAUCCAGCUUCACCUUGACAAGCAUGUCUGACCACUCCACUGCUAUGGAGAUCACUGACUGUGUGGAGUAAUGACAAGCCUACUGAAGAUGACUGGGUGCAUUAGACAGUUUACAGUGGCUCAACCUAUGUAGAUGCUGAAUUCAGUCCAUUUUCUACAUCUAGUGAUGUGUCCCAGUGAUUGAUUUUGGCAUCAAAACAGAAAUCCUUCUCUUUCUUAACUUGCUAUUCACGCAUCAUCUUCCAGUGGCAAGUGCUGACAAUGACAGAUGCCACCUUCACCACAGCUUGGUUCUUGGCUAAAGUCCCCUCCUCUUAGCUUAUGAGCCCUGCCUUGGGAGAAAGUGUUUGCAAUGUGCCUAGGCCUCAGCUGGAUCCCAGCAGUUGCUUGGCCUAAGAGCUGGGACCCUUUCCCCAUAUGCCAUUUGGCGAGCAUAAUCAGUGGUUGUGCACCCUAGGUGUCUUGAUCAGAUGCUUCAUUUUGGCCAGGGUUUUUACUCUCCUGCUUCCUAGGCAAGUCGCUAUAUCCAUAAACUUGACUUAACAAGUCCAUUUUUCUUUUUUCUUACCUGAUCCAAAACACCUCCCAGUAGAUUUUUCAUAUAUAUUAAAAAAUCAGUAAGUAAACUGCUGCCUGUAGAAUUUUGCCUCUAAAGCAACAGGAUCCUUCCAAAAAUCUAAUGUAAACACAAACUGUUGCAUUCUUAAUGAAAAGCCAUUCUUCUGGGUGCUGUGGGUGCUUCGGUGCACCAGUCCCUGCUAGAUGCUGCCUGAGGUCCCCAUUGCUUCUGCACACGUGGACACACCCUGCAGCUCUGAUGGCCCUGGAGGGGGCGUAGCUUCCUGAAUUGUAUUCUCAUUGCACUGGUGUUUGCAGGUGAAUGGGGAAAAUGUUCACUCACCUCCACGUUAUCUCCCUUCUGCCUGCAAGCUGAAACUCAGGGUUGAUGAGGCCCCUCUGAAUUUCAGAGUUUGAUGAAACAGAUUUUCUAGAAGUUUAUUCAUGGCUCUUCUUCUCCCUGGACAGGCCACAUGUGUGCUUUGGCUGACAGUGCCCAGCCCCCAGGGCUGUUUUAGAUUCUGGUUUGAUUCCUUAGAAAAGACCAGGAAUCUGGUUCAUAUCAUGUUUUCAGAUAUUUCAAUCAUCUUGCUCAGUAAAAAGUUCUCUAACAUGUGAAUUAAAUGCAUGUUCUACGGUUCUAUAAUUUAUAUUCAUGACAAAGCUUAUGUAAGUAUAGGAAUUUUUAAAGAAGGAGAUGAAAAAGAAUCCAAAUGGAAGUUCUGAUAUUUUCUUCCUGUAUCUGGGUGUACUGUCUUCCACUCCAAUUGGUGGGCCUGAGAGGUCUCACUCUGAGAGAACCUCGGUGCCUCUCAGGUGAAGGUGAGGGGGGGGCGGGGGGAGUGGGGACAAAGCAGGGAUGAUAUCUACAGGGAUGGUUGAAGGUAUUUUUGCCUUCAACCCUCAAAAUCUGCCUGGAUGACCUUGGACUUGUAGGUGAAUUCCAGAUUCAGGGAAAGGUGUGUUUUUCAUGAUGAAGUUCUACCCAGAACGAAAUGAAUCAUGCUGUAUUGUGCUGUUUUUCAUAAAAGUUAGUACAUUGAAUUUCCUUCUCUUGUUAUUCUUUUCCUUUUAAACAUGCCAUGAAUAAAAAUAACAAACUGCUGA
This 3029-nucleotide long non-coding RNA is filed under the name Sus scrofa (pig). Its description in RNAcentral is "lncRNA (ENSSSCG00025046586.1)". The record is from RNAcentral. Lineage: Eukaryota; Metazoa; Chordata; Mammalia; Artiodactyla; Suidae.